Molecule: long non-coding RNA, 2999 nt
Organism: Asparagus officinalis (garden asparagus)
Lineage: Eukaryota; Viridiplantae; Streptophyta; Magnoliopsida; Asparagales; Asparagaceae
Exons: 3
Source: RefSeq, a predicted model, not a curated record
AUUUUUAUUGCACAAUUAUUGCCUUAAGACCCUAAUCACCCCCCUCUAGGGUCUAACAAAUAUAUCACCAACCAAGCACUCCCAAGCUCAAGCAACAUGAAUCAUGUUGUAGGAUUACAUCCCGGGGUGCUGGGGUUAGACGAGCCACCUCGCGGUGAGUUACCCAUAUUUGCCAAUACUAUGAGGAACCACCUUGCUGCAUUUGGGCGAGAGUUACCUAUUACAAGUCACCGAUGCUACGGUUGGUCUCACUCUUUGAUAAACUUUGGUGGGCGAGGUUGACCAACUACGUCCUUAAUCGAUGGAGUGCGGACCUGAAGGUGGGCAGGUUGUAUGAAGCUAUCCGCGCUACAAAGUAUAGAUUGCCAAUUAACGUUCACCAUUUCCUUGCACUGAUAGAUUUCUACAAUCCGGAUUCUAACGCUUUCAUAACCAGACAUGGAGAGUUAGGAUUACCCCUUCAUGAGAUGUUUAAAGUUUACGGCUUAACGAUGGGGGGAAUGCCGUACCAGGAGUAUUUGCCUCCUAAUCAGGAGCUGGAGCAAUUGAAGGCCCGUACGCCAGCUCGAUUUGACACAUUAUGGGAGCUCACUUGUCACUAUCGGACAGCUCUGGCAGGAGUUAACCUAGUAGCAAAGAAGAAAUCAUCCCAGAUAAGUAUGAAACAAUUCUCAAGCUAUUUAUUCAAGAAUCUAGAUAAACUUGGUGAGACUAUUCGUGAAUUGAAGUCGUGAACUCCUUUAGAGGUCAACGAGCUGAUCAAAAAGUCUGGUGCCCGCUCUUAUACCAACACAAGUGUUGAGGGUAAAUUCCUUGCGGGGACCAAGUUCAGAACCUUCUUUUGGUGUGCACAGAAGUCCAUCCAGCCUAUGACUUUAUUGGCCGGCUACCUCGCAAUUUGGUUAAAGAAAUGUGUGGUGCCGUACCAGGCCUCUGAUGCCCUGCCGAUAAAGGUAUUAUUCCUGGCCGUCCAGCUAGCCCACGGGAAAAGCAUAUCCCUUCUUCCAGUGAUGGUCGCCGAUAUUCAUCGCGGGCUUCGUCAAGUAGUCAUCGUCUGCACUCAAAAAGAGGAUACACCAUCAGUUCAAAUUCCCACGGCGAAAGUGGAGCUGCCUUAUACGUACUUAAUGGCGUGGCUAGUUCUUCACCAUUCUGACAUGAUGUCAGCCCCGAGAAAUGUAGACCUGUCUAUUCCCAAGCUGCAACUUCUUGAAGGGUGUAAGUAGGAAGCAUGGAGCUUCCUAGAAGUGAGGAAGAGCCUGUAGAUCCACAUGGGUGUGGUCUUCUCCCCAUGUGCUCCUCGAUUUGCUAGUUGUUAUAGCGGGCUGUUAGCUAAUGAAGAGAUACCAGGGAUGAAUCGGACUUUGCUCGAUGUUGGCUACUUCCGAUAGUUGAUGAACAUUAAGCCGUGUCAUCUUAUCUUCUAGGUGAAGAAUCAUUGCUACUUGGAGACUUACUUACCGUGUCGAUUCGCCCGCCAGUUUGGAUAUGAUCAAUUCUACAUUGAAAAUCCGAACUGACAGCUCCAGACUCACGGCAGACUGGUUGAUGGCGCUUGGGCGUGGUUAUAGAAUGUAACAGGCUGUACCGGUGCUAAGUUCAGUCUCCCAGGUACUGAAUGUUGGUUAGAGCUAACAUAUUUAUGCUAUAGGUGGGUGAUAGCAGCUAAUGAGCCCGUCCAAGUGUGGCCAAUUGUAGAGUUGGCGUCCAAAGUCGCGUCCCGAAUCACUAAAAGGAUAGUUCGAGAAAACAUGCAACGACAGAGGAAACAAGGAAAAGAACCCGCCGAUCCCUCAGGCAGAGGGAAACACAGAGUAGAGGAAGAAGUGGAGCCCUUCACUUCUAACAAGGAGACUUUGGAAGAAGAGAUCGUAGGUGGUGAAGGCAUAACAUCGGGCAACGGUAAAGAGGAACUCAGCACAGGUUUAUCGGAAUCCUCUUACGAAGAACUGUUGGAUUUGGCGAUCACUAAUCGAACUCGUCGACUUAAGGAUCGAAAGAGGUGGAAAGUUUUGCCCACUUAUCCUCACAGAAUGAUUGUUGAACUUCCGUGUGCAGCUUCCAAAGAAGAAGAAGGGAGAACUCUCCCUAUCACUUGCACCCGAUCUCGGACCAUGGCCCAGACUGAACUACAAAUUGAGACGCGCGCUAAGUAUAAACAAGAUAGGCCUAUAGAUUCUGAAGAGGCUCGACCUUCCAAGUGCCAGAAAAUAAUUUUCAGAUGACACAUCGAGCCGUCGGUUCCCAAAACAGAACAAUUUGGCGACGCGCCUAUCGGUGGAGAAGGUAAUGCUUCAACUCUUCAUGGUCUUUUGACUCUUUUAUUUACUAUCUCUUAGACUUAGCAAAUUUUUUAUUUUAGAGGGUCAUGAAGAAGGUGAAGCUCACUACAACCCUCCUUCUCCUGACUUUGAUUAUUUUGAAGAACCUGUCUUCUCGCAACAGAUGGAUGAGGCUAUGGCCGAGGAGCCCACAGAUGUUGAAGCAGGUGUAGCCGUCGUUAGGACCGGCGAAGGGGUCGGUGUAGGACCUGGUCUAUCCACAAUGGUCUCUAGCCCAUGUAUAUCUAACACCGGUAGUACACCUUUCAGAUGGUAAUUUCAGGAAUUGAACGAUUCAGAAUCCGUGCCUCCCCUAAUUGUUUCCAUGCUUCUUGCUCUUUUAGAAAAAUUACAAUAAGUGAGCAUAAGUGUCGGGAUCGUGGAGCCUACUACCGCUACCAGAGAUAUUUCGAUGGAGGGUUCAGACGAUGAAGAAAAUUUCCAUGAUGCGGCCCUCGGAGAGUCGGGUGCACCCUCAUUUAGUCCGACACUAGCUAGCCCCUCUGGACUCUGACGACAGGCUAUUCGAUGAUAUGUUGUCAGAACCAGCCCAACGUGAGGCCGCCGAGCUAAUUAAUGCAACUGGUUUGCCUACAGUGAUUAUUAUCGAGGCUAGGUCAUCGGCUCUUGAGACAUAACUCUUCAUCCCUUCAGAACCACCGAUUGCAGCACAACCGC